Molecule: ribosomal RNA, 497 nt
Filed under: uncultured bacterium
Lineage: Bacteria
Description: partial 16S ribosomal RNA
Rfam family: Bacterial small subunit ribosomal RNA
Source: RNAcentral
GACGAACGCUGGCGGCGUGCCUAAUACAUGCAAGUUGAGCGAGGAAGAUUGGUGCUUGCACCAAUUUGAAGAGCAGCGAACGGGUGAGUAACGCGUGGGGAAUCUGCCUUUGAGCGGGGGACAACAUUUGGAAACGAAUGCUAAUACCGCAUAACAACUUUAAACAUAAGUUUUAAGUUUGAAAGAUGCAAUUGCAUCACUCAAAGAUGAUCCCGCGUUGUAUUAGCUAGUUGGUGAGGUAAAGGCUCACCAAGGCGAUGAUACAUAGCCGACCUGAGAGGGUGAUCGGCCACAUUGGGACUGAGACACGGCCCAAACUCCUACGGGAGGCAGCAGUAGGGAAUCUUCGGCAAUGGACGAAAGUCUGACCGAGCAACGCCGCGUGAGGGAAGAAGGGUUUCGGAUCGUAAAACUCUGUUGGUAGAGAAGAACGUUGGUGAGAGUGGAAAGCUCAUCAAGUGACGGUAACUACCCAGAAAGGGACGGCUAACUACGUG